AGUGAACGCUGGCGGUAGGCCUAACACAUGCAAGUCGAACGGCAGCACAGUAAGAGCUUGCUCUUACGGGUGGCGAGUGGCGGACGGGUGAGGAAUACAUCGGAAUCUACUUUUUCGUGGGGGAUAACGUAGGGAAACUUACGCUAAUACCGCAUACGACCUACGGGUGAAAGCAGGGGAUCUUCGGACCUUGCGCGAUUGAAUGAGCCGAUGUCGGAUUAGCUAGUUGGCGGGGUAAAGGCCCACCAAGGCGACGAUCCGUAGCUGGUCUGAGAGGAUGAUCAGCCACACUGGAACUGAGACACGGUCCAGACUCCUACGGGAGGCAGCAGUGGGGAAUAUUGGACAAUGGGCGCAAGCCUGAUCCAGCCAUACUGCGUGGGUGAAGAAGGCCUUCGGGUUGUAAAGCCCUUUUGUUGGGAAAGAAAAGCAGCAGGUUAAUACCCCGCUGUUCUGACGGUACCCAAAGAAUAAGCACCGGCUAACUUCGAG
This 492-nucleotide ribosomal RNA is filed under the name uncultured bacterium. RNAcentral's name for it is "partial 16S ribosomal RNA". It matches the Rfam family "Bacterial small subunit ribosomal RNA", at positions 29 to 507 of the family's 1533-position model. The record is from RNAcentral.